CUUGUAUAAUUCAUGCAGAUGUCUUUAGAAUACGUUCUCUCUUCAGAACAAUGGUUUUCUGCUACCAUCAUUUAGUAUCCAAAUUGUCAAUAUGUUAAAGAUUUUGUAGAAUUCAUAGAUGCAAAUCAACAAUGUUCUUUGAUGUGUAGUAAUUUUUAUGGAUUUAUAUAUGGAGUUAUUUUCAAAGGAGAAGAAAAAUAAUUUACUAGUAAGUUGGUACACGAAUUUAUAAUGAGACUUGUACAUUGUGGCAAAAAUAAUGAACUUUGAGUAUGAUUAGAUGACCAUCUUGCUAGCUUUGGCAUGCAAGAAUUUUGCCUCAUUACUGGACCACCUUGCCAUGAACCAUCCACAGAAAUUGAUUAUAAUAACGAUCGUCUUAGAAAUCAAUACUUCAAUGACCCAAAAAAAAUUAGCAAUGGAAUGAUUUUUAAAGCUUUCCAUGUGUGUGAAGAUGAAGAAGAUAAAUUUAAGCUGUGAUUAGUUAUGUUGGUUGAGUAUGUGUUGAAAUCGACUUCAAGACAAAUUGAUUAUAGAACUACGUGCAUGAUUGAACAUAUUGAUGAGUUCCUUACGUAUCCAUGGGGCCAGAUAGUAUAUUUCAUUUUGUUAAAUUCAUUGAAAGAGUCACAAUUGAAAAGAAUACUAAGAAUGCAACAGAACCAACAAACAGAAUGUAAGUAUGUAUUACAAGGCUAUCCACUCGCAUUUCAGGUAUUCUGUUCCUAUUCUAAUUACUUAUGUAUUAUGUAUAAUUUCUUUAUACAAAGAAUAAAUUAUAUUCAUCCCAUUUCUCUUUCAUUACGUUGUAGUAUUGAAUAUAUGAAGCGUUUCCACAGAUUGGACAAAAGUUUGGUCGUCGUAAAUUCAAAACGGUGCAGAUUCCACGAAUCUAUAAUUGGAGGCCUAAUACUAUACUAAAGAAAUCGAUUGUUAAGGAAUUUUUGGAUACUAAAGAUGUAUGAAUUUUUUUAUUUUCAAUGUAAAAUGACAUUCACAUUUAAUUAUUAACAAGUUCAAUUAAACAAAUGGAUUCUGAUAGUUUGUUAUGAUUACAGAUCGAAGUCAUUACAGCGCUGCAGCCUACGGAAGAAGAAUUACAAACACCCUGGUACAUAAGUCUUUCACUGCCAGCUGACAAUGAAUAUAGUAUAUUAGAUAUCAUUGUCAAUGGAGAAGUAGAUAAUGUAGUACAAUCAAUACCGGAUAACAUCCGUGUGCAAGAAACGACCAGUUGUGUUACAUCGAGAACUUCAACUGGAGUUGGGCCUAGUUCUACUUCUGGUGCCUUCAGAUAUAUAACUGAAGACCGAAUGGGUAUGUACAGGUAGCAUACGAUAUCAGAUAUGUCAAGUCUAUGUGGAAACUUGAAAGCAGAAUUUGUUGAAAAAUCAAGAGCACUAAACCAUGCUAUCCUUGAAAGCCAAAAGCAAUUGUUCGAACAACAUAACAAAUUGUUGCAAGAUUACAUGCAAUCAUACAUGGAUAAUUCUCUAUCAAAUAUGUUUAACACUCAUAUUGUCCAGGAAUUGUAACAACAAAAAGCCCAUUAGCAGGCAAUUCUCCAAAAGCAAGGAGAAUUAUUCCAACAGCAAUAAGAG
Molecule: long non-coding RNA, 1601 nt
Filed under: Olea europaea subsp. europaea
Lineage: Eukaryota; Viridiplantae; Streptophyta; Magnoliopsida; Lamiales; Oleaceae
Source: RNAcentral